UGGGGAAUUUUGGACAAUGGGCGAAAGCCUGAUCCAGCAAUGCCGCGUGUGUGAAGAAGGCCUUCGGGUUGUAAAGCACUUUUGUCCGGAAAGAAAUCCUUGGCUCUAAUACAGUCGGGGGAUGACGGUACCGGAAGAAUAAGCACCGGCUAACUACGUGCCAGCAGCCGCGGUAAUACGUAGGGUGCAAGCGUUAAUCGGAAUUACUGGGCGUAAAGCGUGCGCAGGCGGUUUGCUAAGACCGAUGUGAAAUCCCCGGGCUCAACCUGGGAACUGCAUUGGUGACUGGCAGGCUAGAGUAUGGCAGAGGGGGGUUAGAAUUCCACGUGUAGCAGUGAAAUGCGUAGAGAUGUGGAGGAAUACCGAUGGCGAAGGCAGCCCCCUGGGCCAAUACUGACGCUCAUGCACGAAAGCGUGGGGAGCAAAGCAGGAUUAGAUACCCUGGUAGUCCACGCCCUAAACGAUGUCAACUAGUUGUUGGGGAUUCAUUUCCUUAGUAACGUAGCUAACGCGUGAAGUUGACCGCCUGGGGAGUACGGUCGCAA
This 545-nucleotide ribosomal RNA is filed under the name uncultured bacterium. RNAcentral describes it as "partial 16S ribosomal RNA". It matches the Rfam family "Bacterial small subunit ribosomal RNA", at positions 355 to 891 of the family's 1533-position model. The record is from RNAcentral.